This is a long non-coding RNA of Felis catus (domestic cat), 3987 nucleotides long. RefSeq lists it as uncharacterized. The transcript is spliced from 2 exons. Lineage: Eukaryota; Metazoa; Chordata; Mammalia; Carnivora; Felidae. The record is from RefSeq and is a predicted model, not a curated record.
AAGGCAGGGAGGCUGGACCCACGUGGAGCCUGCUCCUCACUGACGGAAGAGGGAAUGGGGUGGUCUCAGGUCUCGGGUGGUGGCCUACCCCUCUCUGGCCUCCGUGGCCCCUCCUGGGACAGAUCGCCCCCCAUCUCUCAAAGGCCUGGGCCUGUCUCCACUUCGGUAAAAGGAGGGGCUUCUGAUCCCACCCACCAGCUGGGGGGCACUUGGGUCCACUGGUCUCCAGAGGCCGCCCCUCCAGCCACUACUCUCCCCUCCUCCCCGGGUCGCCAGAGGGGUUGCCAAGACCCUGGACCCGGCAAGGCCAGGUGGAAGGGAGCAUCUUCCCAAGGAGUCUUGGGUUUCCUUCCCUGGGACCUCCCAGUCUCCAGCCCUGGGUGAGUCCUGCCAUCUGUGGGGGCUGAACCCCAUCCUGGAGUCUCCUUUCAUUGCCUUGUGACGUCACCAGAAGGGAGGGACGUCCCCAUCUAUGGAUGAGGAAGUGGAGCCCCACAAGCUCACCCACCCAGCCGUCUCAGAACAGGACGGUAGACUCCUUGGGGAUACCCGGCCCCGGGGCCCCAUGAAUCGUCUGCCCCAGGCGGAGGCAGGCAGGGUCCUUGGCGGCCCAGGACCCAGGCCUCUGGGGCUGCCCUGGGUCUGGUUUGCUCACUGCUCCAGCCCCCUCAUGCUCAGUGGCUGCUGAGGCCGAUGGAAGGAGACAUCCCCACCCCCACCCCUCUGGGCUGUGUGAGAAGCCGGGCCAGGAACCCUGUACACACCUCGGCUGGGGCACCUGGGGAACUGGCACAUGCCCAGCCUCCAGACAGCCACGGUCACGGGCAAUAGCACACGCCCAGGGCCCGUGCCGGGCCAGAGCGGGUGCUGCACCCCAGAUGUCUCUGUAGGCCCUGGGAGGAGCUUCCUUGACUAGAGCGUUGUGAUAUCCUAACUGAUCCUGGACCCCACAGAGCCUCGAUGAGCCCCAAAUUGGGGCUGAGGCCCAUCCCAGAGGAGGGGAUCUGAGCCCCCAGGGACGGGCCUCACUAGGCUGGCCUCCCGGCAUAGUCCCACCCUGGGGCCUGGUGGCCUACACGGCAUAAGAUUGGGGAGCUGAGGAAGCCCCAGCAUUUUACAAGUCCCCAAGGCUCAGUCUCCAGACUGUGUUGGGGACCAGCUGACACCAGCCUGGUGUGUGUGGCCUGCCCAGGCCCUCCUUCCCCGCAGAGGCCAGGUGGCCUUGGGAGUGUGGAGGAGAGAAUUUGGCUGGAGCCAAGAAAUUCAAAGGGGUGGGGCUGGAGGCUGGCAUUUAAACAUCUGGAACCUUCUGCAAAAUCGAGGUCCACUGGUGCGCCAGGCUUUGGGAACUAGCCCUCCCACCCCCAGUGGCGGAAGGCUGGGCAGGCAACGCAGGCCACGGGAGGGCUGCGGCCGGACCCGAGGGCAGGUCCUGCCCAUGGCCUGUUUCUUCAUGGGUGUCCUGAGGGCUCCACAUUGGCCCGGAUGGCCGAAGGUCGCCCUGGACCCCACCUGACCUCCUGGGCCAGUCCCUCCCCACAGCCCAUUCCUCCGGGCCCAGACUCCUUCUGUCCCCCCCACCGGCCAGGUCCUGCACACCGCCCCACCCCCACGUAUUCACACGUCCUGCCUUCAUCGGGGCUCUGCCGCCUGCCAGCCAGCAAGGCUCUGCCUCCCCAUCCUGCCCUCCCCAUCCGUCCUUCAGACUUCCUCCCACAUUACGGCCUGGUAUUCAUAGCAGCCAGAGCUAUGCGUCCUGACCGCCUGUCACCUGCCAUCUCCCCCACUGAAGCGGGCACCCCCUGAGGGCCGGGCGGGCCCUAGAAGCUCCCCUCUGGGAGCUGGGGACGUGGCACCAGGGGCUGCCCAGCGAGUGCUUGUGGAAAGUAGGAAAAUCUGAACGGACAGAAACACACAGAUCAGCAGACGUCAUUCACAGCCUCGCAAGGAUCCCAGUUAUCCCCGGUUCACCGACGAAGUGAGCUCAGAAAGGGUGAGUGACUUGUCCAAAGCUGCACAGCCUGGAAAUGGCAGAACUGAUUUGAAGCCGGGUCGAUGGGCCUUGAGCCCUGGGCCUCCCUCCGUGGACCCCCUGGGGCCCUGACAAGAUGCAGGUGGAGACACUGUGGCCCUCACAGCCAGCCUGACACAGAGAGGAAGAACAGAGAGACGCCGGGUCCUGCCCUGGGAGGAGGGCAGCCGGGCUGCUUCCUCUCCCGCCUGAGGGAGGAAGUCGUCCUCAUCAGGAACCCAUGGAGACAGGGGUUCAGAUACCAAGAGAGCAGACUGGGCCUGGGCCUGGGCGCGCUGAGACCGUGGAGGCCCCCGAGGGUCUUGGUCCGGGGCCGGCCGGGGGCAGGAGUGGACGGUGGCCCCAGGCCUGGCAGCCCCAAGAGGAAGACUGUGUUGGCUUCCCGGUGCUCGUGCCCCAAGCAGCGCCCUGAGGCGUUCCAGUGUUUACUCCGGCCCUGGAGGCUCUCCACGGCAGUUGAGGCUUCAGGGAUCAGAGGGACCCCAGAAGCCUGGGGCCAGCCCCGCGCCCCUCAGAGCUUGGGCUCGGUACCACGGUACCACGGGGAGGGUGGGGGGGAUGCCAGAGGGCAGGAAGGCCGGGCGGGGCCUUCUAGACAAGCCUCACCACCCCACCCUCUGCCGUCUCUGCUGUCUGUCCUGUGGCCCGUGCCCUCAGCCAUAAAGCAAGAAUCCCUCAUGUUUCCUGUCAUUGUCACUGAUCAUACUCAGUGCCGAUCACACUGAUCGCCUUCACUGAGCACUUACUUCGGCUGCUCUGAGGCCUGUUAUAAAGCCUCUCGCUUCACCUCACAACUCCUGGUUUUGCAGAUAAGGAAUACGAGGCCCAGAGAGGUUAUGCGACUCGUUGGUGGUCACACAGCUGACACGCUCCCCCGCGCCCAGCCCCAGGCCUGGAUCACAGCAGGGAAAAGACAGCCAUAGAAGGAAUUUCGAGGAAAAGCAACAUGCCAUCCUCUCCUCCCUGUCCCUGUCCCCUCUCCACCAGGCCUCCAUGUCCCUUCCCCGUGGAAUCCACCCCCGGUUUGGGUGCCCUAUCCUUGCCACCUCUGUGGCCUUUGCGUCUGUCGCCCCCGCUGCCUCUUGUCUCAGAGGACCUGGGCCACCCCCUGCAGGCCCCUGUCACCUCGUCCUCCUCCCAGCCCGCCCACCCCACCCUGUCUUCAGGACUGCUUCUCUUCCUUGUCUGUUAGAUUCCAGGCACAUCCCAGCUCACCUUGCGGACACUUCCAGGCUGUGACAGUCAGCUUGCAGGUGGAAAAUCAGUCAUCACGUCGAACGCUCGUGGUGAUCCGUGAACCCGGGAACCAGCAACUGUAAAACAGGAUCAUCUUCUGUCCUUGGUUUUAGCCUCCCUGGGCUCCCCGCUGCAAGGUCACAAGAUGUCCGGGCACGGAGACAUGCCUUCCUGUACCCCCAUGGGAGACACCACCCUACACCCCCAGACAGGAGCUCAGAGAGGUGAAGGGACUUGCCCAAGGGCACACAGCUCAUUGGUGGUUGUAGCAGAGACUGCUCACUGUCCUCCAGGUUCCUGUCCCCACCCCACCACCUCCAGCGGUCCAAGGGAUUAGAACCCCUGCUACGUUACCUGGGCAUUUGCUGCUUGGAAUCAAGAUACCUCCCAGUCUCCAUUAUACUUAGGUGUGCCAUGUGACUAAAUUUUGGCCUGGAUGUAAAAAUAGUGUUUGACAUUAGGAAAGGUUCUUAAAGGGCAAGACACACCCUACUCCCCUUUCUCCUUCUGCUGCCUGUAAUGCAGAUCUAAUGGCAGGAGCGUUAGCAGCCAUUUUGGACCAUGAGGUGAUGAUGUUGGAAAUGAAGACUGCACGGCAGAGCCACAGUAUACAAGGAGCUCAGGGUCCUGGCACUGUGACACUGCUGGCUGCACGAGCCCCGGCCACCUGUAAACGUCUUGAGAGUGCAAGAAAACGAAACUUUCAUCUUUCUCAGCCA